Molecule: ribosomal RNA, 164 nt
Filed under: uncultured bacterium
Lineage: Bacteria
Description: partial 16S rRNA
Rfam family: Bacterial small subunit ribosomal RNA
Source: RNAcentral
UAGGGAAUCUUCCACAAUAGACGCAAGUCUAAUGGAGCAACGCCGCGUGAGUGAAGAAGGUCUUCGGAUCGUAAAACUCUGUUGUUAGAGAAGAACACGAGUGAGAGUAACUGUUCAUUCGAUGACGGUAUCUAACCAGCAAGUCACGGCUAACUACGUGCCAG